This 926-nucleotide ribosomal RNA is filed under the name Psychrobacter sp. RNAcentral's name for it is "bacterial SSU rRNA". It matches the Rfam family "Bacterial small subunit ribosomal RNA", at positions 551 to 1479 of the family's 1533-position model. The record is from RNAcentral. Lineage: Bacteria; Pseudomonadati; Pseudomonadota; Gammaproteobacteria; Moraxellales; Moraxellaceae.
AUUCUGGGCGUAAGCGAGCGUAGGUGGCUUGAUAAGUCAGAUGUGAAAUCCCCGGGCUUAACCUGGGAACUGCAUCUGAAACUGUUAGGCUAGAGUAGGUGAGAGGGAAGUAGAAUUUCAGGUGUAGCGGUGAAAUGCGUAGAGAUCUGAAGGAAUACCGAUGGCGAAGGCAGCUUCCUGGCAUCAUACUGACACUGAGGCUCGAAAGCGUGGGUAGCAAACAGGAUUAGAUACCCUGGUAGUCCACGCCGUAAACGAUGUCUACUAGUCGUUGGGUCCCUUGAGGACUUAGUGACGCAGCUAACGCAAUAAGUAGACCGCCUGGGGAGUACGGCCGCAAGGUUAAAACUCAAAUGAAUUGACGGGGGCCCGCACAAGCGGUGGAGCAUGUGGUUUAAUUCGAUGCAACGCGAAGAACCUUACCUGGUCUUGACAUACACAGAAUCUUGUAGAGAUACGAGAGUGCCUUCGGGAAUUGUGAUACAGGUGCUGCAUGGCUGUCGUCAGCUCGUGUCGUGAGAUGUUGGGUUAAGUCCCGCAACGAGCGCAACCCUUGUCCUUAGUUACCAGCACUUCGGGUGGGAACUCUAAGGAUACUGCCAGUGACAAACUGGAGGAAGGCGGGGACGACGUCAAGUCAUCAUGGCCCUUACGACCAGGGCUACACACGUGCUACAAUGGUAGGUACAGAGGGCAGCUACACAGCGAUGUGAUGCGAAUCUCAAAAAGCCUAUCGUAGUCCAGAUUGGAGUCUGCAACUCGACUCCAUGAAGUAGGAAUCGCUAGUAAUCGCGGAUCAGAAUGCCGCGGUGAAUACGUUCCCGGGCCUUGUACACACCGCCCGUCACACCAUGGGAGUUGAUUGCACCAGAAGUGGUUAGCCUAACUUAGUGAGGGCGAUCACCACGGUGUGGUCGAUGACUGGG